Molecule: long non-coding RNA, 150 nt
Organism: Thamnophis elegans (Western terrestrial garter snake)
Lineage: Eukaryota; Metazoa; Chordata; Lepidosauria; Squamata; Natricidae
Exons: 3
Source: RefSeq, a predicted model, not a curated record
UGAGCUUGGUUGUCUUAUUGCAGACAUUUCAUUACCCAACCAGACACGACAAGAGAUCAAGAGAGACUUCUGCCACUCAUUUCAAGCCUCUGCCAUCUCAUUUUACCUUUCCUGCCUAGAACUGUGUUGGCUUUUUUGGCAGCUGCUGCA